GAUGAACGCUGGCGGCGUGCCUAAUACAUGCAAGUCGAGCGAACAGACGAGGAGCUUGCUCCUCUGACGUUAGCGGCGGACGGGUGAGUAACACGUGGAUAACCUACCUAUAAGACUGGGAUAACUUCGGGAAACCGGAGCUAAUACCGGAUAAUAUAUUGAACCGCAUGGUUCAAUAGUGAAAGACGGAUUUGCUGUCACUUAUAGAUGGAUCCGCGCCGCAUUAGCUAGUUGGUAAGGUAACGGCUUACCAAGGCAACGAUGCGUAGCCGACCUGAGAGGGUGAUCGGCCACACUGGAACUGAGACACGGUCCAGACUCCUACGGGAGGCAGCAGUAGGGAAUCUUCCGCAAAGGGCGAAAGCUUGACGGAGCAACGCCGCGUGAGUGAUGAAGGUCUUCGGAUCGUAAAACUCUGUUAUUAGGGAAGAACAAAUGUGUAAGUAACUAUGCACGUCUUGACGGUACCUAAUCAGAAAGCCACGGCUAACUACGUG
This 497-nucleotide ribosomal RNA is filed under the name uncultured bacterium. RNAcentral's name for it is "partial 16S ribosomal RNA". It matches the Rfam family "Bacterial small subunit ribosomal RNA", at positions 28 to 507 of the family's 1533-position model. The record is from RNAcentral.